RNAcentral lists this ribosomal RNA (497 nucleotides) under uncultured bacterium. RNAcentral's name for it is "partial 16S ribosomal RNA". It matches the Rfam family "Bacterial small subunit ribosomal RNA", at positions 28 to 507 of the family's 1533-position model. The record is from RNAcentral.
GAUGAACGCUGGCGGCGUGCCUAAUACAUGCAAGUCGAGCGAACGGACGAGAAGCUUGCUUCUCUGAUGUUAGCGGCGGACGGGUGAGUAACACGUGGAUAACCUACCUAUAAGACUGGGAUAACUUCGGGAAACCGUAGCUAAUACCGGAUAAUAUUUUGAACCGCAUGGUUCAAGAGUGAAAGACGGUCUUGCUGUCACUUAUAGAUGGAUCCGCGCUGCAUUAGCUAGUUGGUAAGGUAACGGCUUACCAAGGCAACGAUGCAUAGCCGACCUGAGAGGGUGAUCGGCCACACUGGAACUGAGACACGGUCCAGACUCCUACGGGAGGCAGCAGUAGGGAAUCUUCCGCAAUGGGCGAAAGCCUGACGGAGCAACGCCGCGUGAGUGAUGAAGGUCUUCGGAUCGUAAAACUCUGUUAUUAGGGAAGAACAUAUGUGUAAGUAACUGUGCACAUCUUGACGGUACCUAAUCAGAAAGCCACGGCUAACUACGUG